RNAcentral lists this ribosomal RNA (216 nucleotides) under uncultured Amoebozoa. RNAcentral describes it as "partial 18S ribosomal RNA". It matches the Rfam family "Eukaryotic small subunit ribosomal RNA", at positions 1460 to 1669 of the family's 1831-position model. The record is from RNAcentral.
UUCUGUGAUGCCCUUAGAUGUUCUGGGGCUGCACGCGCGUUACACUGAUGUGUGCAACAAGUAUUGAAAAAAACCUAACCCGAAGGGGUCUGGGCAACCUCCAAACGCACAUCGUGAUGGGGAUUGUGCUUUGUAACUAUCGCACAUGAACGAGGAAUUCCUAGUAAGGGUAAGUCAUCACCUUGCCCUGAUUACGUCCCUGCCCUUUGUACACAC